GUGGCAGAUGAAAAUCUUGACAAACAUUUACUGGCGAGUUUGUCAUCAGGGAGAAGAGAAAUUUUCCACUGGUCCAAUCUCCAUCAGGGAUCAUGCUUAUUACCUUCAAAGCAUGAAUUCUUCCCAGGACAGCUCAACAGUGUCUGUUACAGCUGCUGCAAUCUCUUCCUCACUGUUUCAUCUCACCAAUCUGAAACCUUGAGACCGGAGAGGGGGGGAACAAACAUUACAUUACAGGCUCUUAACAGAAUAAUAUAUAAAGUACAAAGGGUUUCGUGGUUAAUACUGGACAUUCAUUUAUCCUCCCCGAUUCAAUCCGAGACGCCACGGAAAAGAGGCGAGCAGAAAGCGCAGGGAUGUUUGAUAUUGCAUCUGAAAGUUAUAAACCCAGGAUGUCUCACAGCAGAGAGCCCAGGCUGUCAAAGAUGCAGCUUGUGUUCCGUAAAACAGUGAGAACCAAAGUAGACGUACUGCACCUUUACAUACAUGUUUAAACAGAGGUGACGCAGACGGCCGCGGUCUUGUCAGAGCUGCCGUCUCAGACCCAUUUCCUCAGGUCAUUUUAUACUGCUGUGACAGAGGCAUCACCAUCAGUAGGAUAUUCUCCUGAAGAUCAAACCACCAACAUCAUCCUCCGCCUCCAUCUGGCUCAUACAGGUCUCCACCAAAUGCCUUGUGAUCCACUAGGAUAAAAAAUAAAGUGCAGGAGAAGAUGGGUUAUUUUCCAGUGCUCCAAAUACAGAGUAAAUGUUUUCAUGAACUCGUCAACACUGAACUUUAAAAGUUUAAAAGGUGACAUGACAGCAGUUAAAUUACAUCAAGAAAUGAAAUAAAUCCUGCUAAAAGCGGAACAUCUAAAUAGAAAACAGACGUAUCCGCUAAAGCGCUCUUUAUUUAUUUAUUCUUCAAACUGACCAAAACAUCAAAAUAUUAAAUUUCUGAUCAGGUUUCAAAGGAAAAGCACUAAAUUACCAUAUUUGACAAGCUCCGACUAAGGAAUGUUUGCAGGUUUUAUUUGACAGCCAAUCGACUGAGUGAUCGAUCAACUUCUUAUUGCAGCUCGAAUCUAAUUCAACGUUAGUUUGAACGUGAAUCGUAUACAUUCUGAGACAAGGGAGUCACUGGGUCGGGCUAAAGUGUUCUGAGAGAACAGGAAGUCGCUCAAGUUAGCAUCGCGGCUAGCCGGAGGGAGGCCAUGGUAGCAAUGUAGCAUACCCAGGCUAAGCUAACAUGUGUAGCAGUUACUUUCUUUUCCCCCCCAAAAAAACACCUUUAUGGUAUUUUGUAUCGUUGCCAAUUCAACAGCUGACCUAGCGGCUGCUAUUUCUGAACAUUAGUGACACGAAACGGAUUCAAACAACGAUACAAAAUGGCCUGAGCAAAAAAGACACGUGUCCGCACACGAUCCGGUACAACGCUUCGACUCCACAACUACGUUUUUCCUCAACAUGGCGACGUAAUAUAUACUUACAACAGAACAUGUCGUUAGUGAAGAUUGAAUCUCCGAGGUUUUGUAGCAUUUUAAACUGAAGAAAACGAGGACCUGCUCUUCCGGUGUGAACCAGUCGACUCAAAGACCGAGGAGACUUCGGUCGCUAGUAUAUAUAGUUUUUCGUCGAGGGCUCGUGUUCGCCCCCUUGAGGAUGAAGACGAAACGUUAGUUCACAAGGUCGCCCCCUU
Long non-coding RNA from Scophthalmus maximus (turbot), 1680 nucleotides. NCBI's taxonomy places the organism in Eukaryota, Metazoa, Chordata, Actinopteri, Pleuronectiformes, Scophthalmidae. The record is from Ensembl.